AUUAUUUUCAGUUAUGAAUUAUAACUUAAGCUUUAAAUUCAAAUUGUAAAUUUAAUUUUAUAUAUCUGAAAUUUUAAUUAUAAAUUCAACUCAAAUUUAAGUUUAAACUUAGAAUUUAAAUUUUAAUUCUGAAUUCUUAAUAUAAAUUUAAAUAUAAAUUGCGAGUAUAAGUCAUUUGUUCAUAUUUUCACUUUUUUAUAUACAGUUAACGAUUAAAAUUAUAAACCAUAAUUUUUCGUGUUUCACUUUAUAACCAGCCANA
Molecule: long non-coding RNA, 262 nt
Filed under: Ananas comosus (pineapple)
Lineage: Eukaryota; Viridiplantae; Streptophyta; Magnoliopsida; Poales; Bromeliaceae
Description: long non-coding RNA (ACOM_LNC037717)
Source: RNAcentral